This 338-nucleotide ribosomal RNA is filed under the name uncultured Coxiellaceae bacterium. Its description in RNAcentral is "bacterial SSU rRNA". It matches the Rfam family "Bacterial small subunit ribosomal RNA", at positions 30 to 339 of the family's 1533-position model. The record is from RNAcentral. Lineage: Bacteria; Pseudomonadati; Pseudomonadota; Gammaproteobacteria; Legionellales; Coxiellaceae.
AUUGAACGCUGGCGGCAUGCCUAACACAUGCAAGUCGAACGUGAAAGAGGGGUAACCCUUGAGUAAAGUGGCGAACGGGUGAGUAAUGCAUAGGAAUCUGCCCUAGAGUGGGGGAUAACCUGCCGAAAGGCGGGCUAAUACCGCUUAAUCUCUGAGGAGGAAAGGUGCCUAGCUACUAAAUCAUUUAAAAGUAAGUGAUUUAGUAGCUAGGUAUUGCUUUAGGAUGAGCCUAUGUCGGAUUAGCUUGUUGGUAAGGUAAUGGCUUACCAAGGCGACGAUCCGUAGCUGGUCUGAGAGGACGAUCAGCCACACUGGAACUGAGACACGGUCCAGACUCC